UGUUGAGACAGUAGGUCACGGGGUGUCCCUGCAAGGACAGACAUGGCCCUGUCCCCUUCCUCCCUCUCCCUGCCCUGAGGUGAGCAGUCUUGCUACUGGCCUCCUGCAGAACCCCUGCCUCGCUGCAGGCCCCCAGCAACGGGGCCCAGCCACCAGGACUGGGGCCCCGGGAACUGUGAGCCCAGACCCUUUCUCCUCUGUCUCCAUGUCUCAGGCAUUUUGUCACAGAGACGCCCUGGCUGUGUGCACGGGUGCUGGCAGGAGGCUCGGGGCCCCGUCCAGGUGACGCACCACCUGCCCGCAGUGCUACGCUUUCCGUCCUUUCUUUCCUUUGCCUCAGUGUUUUCUCACUCAGUCCCUCUGUGGAUAAUUUUUAAAUCUUUAUUUGUAUUUCACGACUGCUUCCCCUGCUGGAGGCAGCUGCACGCGGCUCACCGUCCACCCAGCGCAGAGCUGACGUAGAUGAUCCGACACACAUGGCAGCCAGGGACAGACUCGCUGCGGCCAGGUGAGUGCUCGUGCCAACUCCUCCGGGAGCCCAGGAGGACGUGCAUUUCUGAGUGUAACUGAAGUGGGAAUGAGUAGGUGGCCACAGGGUCCCCAACCGAGGGCGAUAUGCAACUGCUCUGAAGCAGGAUGUGUCUGCAGUACCACGGGGCGGGAGGCGAGGCCACGCCCACGGUCCAGAGGCAAGCCUAGGGUGAAAGCCGCCGGGCUGCGGGGUGAAGCCCGGCCGCUGGCCCUGCCCGGGUCCCAGCCACCCUGCGGGACGGCCUUCCCAGUGCACCCCCGUCCGAGCCGGGCUUCUCCAGCCCUCCUCCCGACAGUGGCAGGCUGCACCUUUUCAAAGGAAAACCUGACCUGACUGCUUUCGAGCCUUCUUCCUACUUCAGGGUUUUUCAGAAAAAUGAUGGAAGACUUUGACAAAAUUAUAUGCCACUGUACCAAAAAACCAAGGAUAAAGCAAAGGCAAAGAAUCCACCGGGAGCCGCUUCUGGAGACGGAACACCAGUUUUGGGCGCAAGCUCGGCGGGCUUGAGCCCUCGGCUCCACUGGCUGGGAUGAGCAGCUAAGGAAGCAAGCGCGCCCCAUGUCAUCAGCCGAUGACUGAUGCCCAGAAGGAGACCCUGCAUCCCCAGGAAAAUGCUGAUAAUGAAAUGUUACAGGAGAACGCCAGCUGAGAGUAAUGCGACCCUUACAGCAGGUCCCGGAGAGUUAAACGGAAUCCGGGAUGGAGACGCUCCUCCUGUGCUGGAAAAUCCCCCGAGAAGCCACCAAGUCCUGCUCUCACUAAACCCGAAGCAAGAAGCGGUCCCUUUACGGUGCCAAGCAAGGAGCUAGCACAGACAGAAAUGCCACUGAAACCCCAUGAUGUCCAGCUGCUGUCCUGGGACAGAGGCCCACAUCCCGAGGCUAAGAAACAAUGGAGAUCAGCCGCCAGCAACUGCACUCUCAGAACCAGCCCCGUGGUGAGAGGCAAGGAGCCCUUCUCAUGGAGACGGCCGCCGUGGACCGGACCUGGCUUCAGCUCCAAAGGAGGAGUUGCUAAUGCCCGAGGAGAAGGCGAAAGGGUUUGGAUCCUUCCUGGGUGAGGAGGGAGCUCUCCCCUGCGCCACCCAGCAGCACGUGCCCUUUGGCUUCAGCCUGCUCUGCAGGGAGGCAGAGCUGCUCAGGAGCCAGUGUCCCCGUGGGCAGUUAGCAUCCUGCGCCAGAGUCAGUCUCUGAUCUGAACCUUACUCAGGAAAGGUAUCAGAAUAACCUCCUUCCUUUCAAAUCUCUGUCCCUCAACCACCAAUUCCCUGAACUCCUUAAGUGACUAGUUCUUGACAUCCCCAGACAGAAAUACUGCUGAGGGCAUUUCAGGGAGCGGAGCAAAACCCUGAGGGUAGUGAUAAGCUUUGGUUCCUUUGGACUGGGGCUGUCGGUGCACUCACUCUGCAAGACCACCUGUCACCCUCUCUUGAACAUCUGCAAAACAGUGAGGACUGAGAGUCUCAUGAAUUUAGACCUUGGAGGCAAUAGUUUUCUUUAAUUCAGUCCUCCCCUGGAGAGAGCAAACUUCUGCUGAUCCCACCUUUAAAAUUGGGCUUUGUGUUACAGAGAGCCUUUACUUUGUGUUUUUAAAGAACUUUCUUUCCUUAAAUUGGAAAAAAAUUAUUGGGGAUUAAGCUCAAUGUUUGAACUUGACAUAAAAUUGUUGCUUUGGGUCCUCUGUUUUUACAGGAGAUGUGAAGGACAUGUUUUAAAACUCAGACGCUCAAA
Molecule: long non-coding RNA, 2262 nt
Organism: Sciurus carolinensis (gray squirrel)
Lineage: Eukaryota; Metazoa; Chordata; Mammalia; Rodentia; Sciuridae
Exons: 3
Source: RefSeq, a predicted model, not a curated record